UUCCGGUUGAUCCUGCCGGACCCCACUGCUAUCGAGGUGGGACUAAGCCAUGCUAGUCGAACGAACAGAACUAUGUCUGUAAGUGGCAUACUGCUCAGUAACACGUAGCUAACCUACCCUUAGGACGUCGAUAACCCCGAGAAAUUGGGGCUAAUAGGCGAUAGGUGUGAUGUCCUGGAAUGGUAUCACGCCCAAAGGUAUCCCAUACAUGUUUGGUAUACGCCUAAGGAUGGGGCUGCGGCCGAUCAGGCUGUUGGUGAGGUAAUGGCUCACCAAACCUUUGACCGGUAUGGGCCAUGAGAGUGGUAGCCCAGAGAUGGACACUGAGACAAGGGUCCAGGCCCUACGGGGCGCAGCAGGCGCGAAACCUCCUCAAUGCACUAACGUGCGAAGGGGUUACCUCGAGUGCCACCUGAAGAAGGUGGCUUUUCCUUGGUCUAAAAAGCCUAGGGAAUAAGAGGGGGGCAAGACUGGUGUCAGCCGCCGCGGUAACACCAGCCCCUCGAGUGGUGGGGAUGAUUAUUUGGCCUAAAGCGUCCGUAGCCGGCCGGGUAAGUUUCCCGUUAAAUCCAGCGUCUCAAGCGUUGGACUGCGGGAAAUACUGCCUGGCUAGAGAGUGGGAGAGGUCAGCGGUAUUCUGGGGGUAGGGGCGAAAUCCUUUGAUCCCCGGAGGACCACCAGUGGCGAAGGCUGCUGACUAGAACACGUCUGACGGUCAGGGACGAAAGCUGGGGUAGCGAACCGGAUUAGAUACCCGGGUAGUCCCAGCCGUAAACGAUGCAUGCUAGGUGUUG
RNAcentral lists this ribosomal RNA (794 nucleotides) under uncultured archaeon. RNAcentral describes it as "bacterial SSU rRNA". It matches the Rfam family "Archaeal small subunit ribosomal RNA", at positions 1 to 776 of the family's 1478-position model. The record is from RNAcentral.